RNAcentral lists this ribosomal RNA (369 nucleotides) under uncultured Psychrobacter sp. RNAcentral describes it as "bacterial SSU rRNA". It matches the Rfam family "Bacterial small subunit ribosomal RNA", at positions 449 to 813 of the family's 1533-position model. Lineage: Bacteria; Pseudomonadati; Pseudomonadota; Gammaproteobacteria; Moraxellales; Moraxellaceae. The record is from RNAcentral.
CUCUUCGGUUAAUACCCGGAGACGAUGACACUAGCUGCAGAAUAAGCACCGGCUAACUCUGUGCCAGCAGCCGCGGUAAUACAGAGGGUGCAAGCGUUAAUCGGAAUUACUGGGCGUAAAGCGAGCGUAGGUGGCUUGAUAAGUCAGAUGUGAAAUCCCCGGGCUUAACCUGGGAACUGCAUCUGAAACUGUUAGGCUAGAGUAGGUGAGAGGGAAGUAGAAUUUCAGGUGUAGCGGUGAAAUGCGUAGAGAUCUGAAGGAAUACCGAUGGCGAAGGCAGCUUCCUGGCAUCAUACUGACACUGAGGCUCGAAAGCGUGGGUAGCAAACAGGAUUAGAUACCCUGGUAGUCCACGCCGUAAACGAUGUC